This 403-nucleotide ribosomal RNA is filed under the name uncultured bacterium. RNAcentral's name for it is "partial 16S ribosomal RNA". It matches the Rfam family "Bacterial small subunit ribosomal RNA", at positions 30 to 526 of the family's 1533-position model. The record is from RNAcentral.
AUUGAACGCUGGCGGCAGGCCUAACACAUGCAAGUCGAGCGAGCGGCGGACGGGUGAGUAAUGUAUGGGGACUGCCCGAUAGAGGGGGUUAACUUCUGGAAUCGGUGGCUAAUACCGCAUACUAUUGGAUAAUCCAUAUGGGUUUAGCUAUUAGGUGGGGUAAAGGCUCACCUAGGCGACGAUCUCUAGCUGGUCUGAGAGGAUGACCAGAGACAAUGGGACUGAGACACGACCCAGACUCAAAGGGAGGGAGCAGGGGGGAAGAUUGCACAAUGGGCGCAAGCCUGAUGCAGCCAUGCCGCGUGUAUGAAGAAGGCCUUAGGGUUGUAAAGUACUUCCAGCUGGGAGGCGUUACCCGCAGAAGAAGCACCGGCUAACUCCGUGCCAGCAGCCGCGGUAAUUC